Long non-coding RNA from Talpa occidentalis (Iberian mole), 870 nucleotides. RefSeq lists it as uncharacterized. The transcript has 4 exons. The record is from RefSeq and is a predicted model, not a curated record. Lineage: Eukaryota; Metazoa; Chordata; Mammalia; Eulipotyphla; Talpidae.
CAUUAAGUAAUAUCAGAUGCUGUGUUGCCCUCCUGGCUGUGAGGCAUGCUCUGACCCCAUGAGGUUUGCACCGGCUGCCCCUCUUCCUAUAAUACUCUCCCACCGGAUCACUCGUCACACCGUCAGGUUUUCACACAGAGAUAGGUGGAACUGGACAAAGCACAUCUAUUUGUGAACCCAAUGACAAAUUGAUGUCAACCCAUGGAGAAGGAGCAACAAAAGGCCUCAGGGAUGAUCACCAUAAAUAUGCAGAAAAAUGACACUCCAGGAAUUAAGGGAAGCUUGGAAGAAAAUUUCAUUUGCACCCCAUUUUCCUUUGCUCUGGAAGAGGGAUAAUCUGAAUGUGAGGUGUGUAGGGGGUGUGUGCACUAGGUCCACGACCCUUCCAUGCUUCUUUGAGGUAGUGUGAGGAGGUGUGCAUUGCACACCCACACCAAAACACCAUGACUCUGGCUGGGACGUGACUGAAGCAGAAGGAAGAAAGGACAGCGCCUGGCACCUGGAUAGGAAGAGAAGUGUGGAAAGCACCCACCUGUCCACUCCAGGCCGACUCUGUUCCCAAAUUGGCCUGAGCUGGCUGUGCUACUCUGUGUGUGGAGGACAGGGUAGGGACAUCAGAUGGAAAAACUAGGAUUGUUUAUCCCCUCCAAAAGCUGGGGGAGACUGAAAACACAGGCCUGAAAUGACUGUCUAAGUUUCUUUAUUUUUUUAUUGGGGUAAUAUUACAAAACCAUAGAUAUCAGGUGUACAUUUUCUUACCUUGGCAACUGGUUUACCCACCACACCUGCCAUCCACCACCCACCGAGCACCCCACUCUACCUGUUCCAGGUCCUCCUUCCCCUCUGGUAAAUGCCAUUCAGUUGUCAGAA